CCAUGAUGCCGUGCUGCGAUAUGGCUGCCAAAGGUCAGCAGGAAGCAUGCCACUCAGUUUUGCUUCCUGCCAUUUCCCACCAGGUCCAGGGGCAGAAUGGGCCAAGGACACUGGCAGAGCCCUGUAAAGGUUAGCUUCACCAACCAUACAAUAUAUCCUUUACAGGGACCUAUAUUAAUGAAUUACUGUAAACUAUUCACUUGGCUUUAUCUCAAAACUGUGUUCAAUCGAUAUGUAAUUCACAUUAGACAAAGCACAUACUUCAGUAUAAACAGUAACAGAGUCUUUCCCUGGAUAAAUUUAGAGGGAAAUGCACUUGGCAAACUAAGGACUCCAAUUAAAAAUCACUUAGAGAUAAAUCACUGUGUCCAGAGGUGCCUAGCAAAAGGGAAAAAUAAACUUGAUUCCCAUUUCAUCCUGAAUGGUCUAAGAGAGAAUACUAAAACUUUGGAAGAAAAAAUAAAUCAAUAAAACAGCUCAGGAAUCCUUGAAAACUGAUAUUCCUAAAAUAUUUGACUAUGUCCCUACAACUCAGUUAAUAUAGUUUUAAAUUAAUUGAAUUGAAUAAAACCAACAAAAAUUAGAGAUUGAAUGUAAAUAAAAUAGAUGCAUUUAAAUAAUUAACUCAGUUAAAUAAAAAUAAAAAACACACAAACAUUAUUAAUGACUUCAUUUUGUGGUGGGGUCAGUAAAAAUAUUGGCAGUCCAACUGUAUCAGCAGAAAAAUGAAAUAUAUUAACCCUGUCAUUGGACUUUUUCCUAAUCAUACUUUAUGUUUCUGCAUCCAUGAAUCUUGGGAGCCCAAAAAAGGCAUUGUUGCUGAACACGGAUGAAUAGACACAGAUCAUUGAUGCAGGAGCAGUUCUGGUUGACUUACACAUGACUUAUCGGUGUACUGAACUCUAUAAAGAGGACGAAGAAGGGCCCUUUCACAGAUCUCUAUGUUCUAUGGACAAAUGCGAAGCAUCACAAUGACUCACCAAGCUCAUUGAAGCCACUGUAUCCGAGUUCCUGUCUGCUGAGUCCCAAGUCUUCCAGAUCCACACACUUAAACCCAGUCGGACACUGAUAACCCUCCCCGUUCGGAGAGCAGUGUGUAUCAGGGAUCGCCAGGCUGUUCCAUGUCACAUUACUGAAAAAAGACAAGAGUGUGUUUUCAAAGAAUCAUCAUCAAAUGAUAAUCUGAUCAAAUUAACCAUUAUAUUGUAACAGGCCAUCCGGUGUUUUCUCACAGAAGAGCAGUGGUAUCAUUCUCCUCUCUGGCAACAUUUACACAAUCAGCAUUUGGGACUGACAACCGUAUUUACUAACAGCUGUGAUUCUAAUUGCCCUGUACAGGACGCAUGAGUUUAUAUAAAUACAAUUAUUAAAAGAAUAUUUUAAAAAAGUAUUACAUAUAAUACUAUAUAUUAUAUAUAAUAUAAAUUACUUGAAUGAAUAGUUUUAUCAAUACACCCAGAACAUGAAACAAUAUCAUACCUCCCCCUUUUCUUGUCUUAUGCAAUCUAAGCUGUCAAAUUAUCUUUAAUAAAUAUUAAUGUUUUAA
Long non-coding RNA from Carassius gibelio (silver crucian carp), 1546 nucleotides. RefSeq lists it as uncharacterized. NCBI's taxonomy places the organism in Eukaryota, Metazoa, Chordata, Actinopteri, Cypriniformes, Cyprinidae. The transcript has 2 exons. The record is from RefSeq and is a predicted model, not a curated record.